Non-coding RNA from Odocoileus virginianus texanus, 344 nucleotides. Lineage: Eukaryota; Metazoa; Chordata; Mammalia; Artiodactyla; Cervidae. The record is from RefSeq and is a predicted model, not a curated record.
CGGCCGUGCUGGCAGCGAGCAGGCAGCAGGCGGGAUCGUACAGUCUUGUCCCGGUUCCCGCGAGCAGUUCACCGCGGCGUCCGGAAGGUUAAGCUGAAACGGCAGCUCAGCUUCGGAGAUGUUACCGUCCAAAUUGCAUGCGCUUUUCUGCCUCUGCACCUGCCUUGCGCUGGUUUAUCCUUUUGACUGGCAAGACCUGAAUCCAGUUGCCCAUAUUAAAUCAGAAGCAUGGGUCAGCAAGAUGCAAGCUCUGAUGGCUGCCGCAAGCAUUGGCCAAACUAAAAUCCCCAGAGGCAAUGGAUCUUAUUCCGUCGGUUGUACAGACUUGAUGUUUAAUUACACUA